Molecule: non-coding RNA, 193 nt
Filed under: Firmicutes bacterium CAG:41
Lineage: Bacteria; Bacillati; Bacillota
Also listed under: 8 other names
Description: 6S / SsrS RNA
Rfam family: 6S / SsrS RNA
About the family: E. coli 6S RNA was the first non coding RNA to be sequenced, but its function was unknown until recently. It consists of 184 nucleotides that fold into an extended hairpin structure with a large single-stranded internal bulge. The 6S RNA specifically associates with RNA polymerase holoenzyme containing the sigma70 specificity factor.
Source: Rfam by way of RNAcentral
AUUACCCUGAGAUUUCGCGUUUAAAAGUCUUUUUUUUACCAACACUUCUUAAAAGGGAUAUUAUCUCCGUUUAUGGCGUAUACGCCUCCGUUCCUUCGGGAAUGCCAGUGGACAUAUAAAGUAAACGGGAUUUAGCCCACCUGCAUGAGCAGGUAGAAACUCGACUUUAACUGACGGUUAUUUUGGGGUUUUU